UAUCCUGGCUCAGAUUGAACGCUGGCGGCAGGCCUAACACAUGCAAGUCGGACGGUAGCACAGAGAGCUUGCUCUUGGGUGACGAGUGGCGGACGGGUGAGUAAUGUCUGGGGAUCUGCCCGAUAGAGGGGGAUAACCACUGGAAACGGUGGCUAAUACCGCAUAACGUCGCAAGACCAAAGAGGGGGACCUUCGGGCCUCUCACUAUCGGAUGAACCCAGAUGGGAUUAGCUAGUAGGCGGGGUAAUGGCCCACCUAGGCGACGAUCCCUAGCUGGUCUGAGAGGAUGACCAGCCACACUGGAACUGAGACACGGUCCAGACUCCUACGGGAGGCAGCAGUGGGGAAUAUUGCACAAUGGGCGCAAGCCUGAUGCAGCCAUGCCGCGUGUAUGAAGAAGGCCUUCGGGUUGUAAAGUACUUUCAGCGGGGAGGAAGGCGACGGGGUUAAUAACCCUGUCGAUUGACGUUACCCGCAGAAGAAGCACCGGCUAACUCCGUG
This 501-nucleotide ribosomal RNA is filed under the name uncultured Pantoea sp. RNAcentral's name for it is "bacterial SSU rRNA". It matches the Rfam family "Bacterial small subunit ribosomal RNA", at positions 15 to 507 of the family's 1533-position model. Lineage: Bacteria; Pseudomonadati; Pseudomonadota; Gammaproteobacteria; Enterobacterales; Erwiniaceae. The record is from RNAcentral.